GAGGGUAUAGCUCAGUGGUAGAGUGUGUGCUUAGCAUGCACGAGGUCCUGGGUUCAGUGUCCAGUACCUCCU
RNAcentral lists this transfer RNA (72 nucleotides) under Camelus bactrianus (Bactrian camel). It matches the Rfam family "tRNA". Rfam says of the family: Transfer RNA (tRNA) molecules are approximately 80 nucleotides in length. Their secondary structure includes four short double-helical elements and three loops (D, anti-codon, and T loops). RNAcentral also lists the same sequence under 2 other names. Lineage: Eukaryota; Metazoa; Chordata; Mammalia; Artiodactyla; Camelidae. The record is from Rfam by way of RNAcentral.